This 473-nucleotide ribosomal RNA is filed under the name uncultured bacterium. RNAcentral describes it as "partial 16S ribosomal RNA". It matches the Rfam family "Bacterial small subunit ribosomal RNA", at positions 28 to 507 of the family's 1533-position model. The record is from RNAcentral.
GAUAAACGCUGGCGGCGCACAUAAGACAUGCAAGUUGAACGGACUUAAUCGAAAUAUUUAUAUUUUGAAGCGGUUAGUGGCGGACUGGUGAGUAACGCGUAAGGAACCUGCCUAUUAGAGGGGAAUAACAGUGAGAAAUCAUUGCUAAUACCGCAUAUGCCAUAGAUAUCACAUGAUAACAGUGGGAAAGGAGCAAUCCGCUAAUAGAUGGCCUUGCGUCUGAUUAGAUAGUUGGUGGGGUAACGGCCUACCAAGUCGACGAUCAGUAGCCGGACUGAGAGGUUGAACGGCCACAUUGGGACUGAGAUACGGCCCAGACUCCUACGGGAGGCAGCAGUCGGGAAUAUUGCGCAAUGGAGGAAACUCUGACGCAGUGACGCCGCGUAUAGGAAGAAGGUUUUCGGAUUGUAAACUAUUGUCGUUAGGGAAGUGAAAGGACAGUACCUAAGGAGGAAGCUCCGGCUAACUACGUG